UACCCCACUAUGCUUAGCCCUAAACCUAGAUAGUUAACCCAAACAAAACUAUCCGCCAGAGAACUACUAGCAACAGCUUAAAACUCAAAGGACUUGGCGGUGCUUUACAUCCCUCUAGAGGAGCCUGUUCUAUAAUCGAUAAACCCCGAUAAACCUCACCAUCUCUUGCUAAUUCAGCCUAUAUACCGCCAUCUUCAGCAAACCCUAAAAAGGAAGAAAAGUAAGCACAAGUGUCUUAACACAAAAAAGUUAGGUCAAGGUGUAGCCUAUGAGAUGGGAAGCAAUGGGCUACAUUUUCUACAAUUAGAACACCCACGAAAAUCCUUA
Molecule: ribosomal RNA, 327 nt
Filed under: Panthera leo (lion)
Lineage: Eukaryota; Metazoa; Chordata; Mammalia; Carnivora; Felidae
Description: partial small subunit ribosomal RNA
Rfam family: Bacterial small subunit ribosomal RNA
Source: RNAcentral